GACGAACGCUGGCGGCGUGCUUAACACAUGCAAGUCGAACGGAAAGGCCCUGCUUGCAGGGUACUCGAGUGGCGAACGGGUGAGUAACACGUUGGUGAUCUGCCCUGCACUUCGGGUUAAGCCUGGGAAACUGGGUCUAAUACCGGAUAGGAGCCAUUUUUAGUGUGAUGGUUGGAAAGUUUUUUCGGUGUAGGAUGAGCUCGCGGCCUAUCAGCUUGUUGGUGGGGUAAUGGCCUACCAAGGCGGCGACGGGUAGCCGGCCUGAGAGGGUGGACGGCCAAAUUGGGACUGAGAGACGGCCCAGACUCCUACGGGAGGCAGAAGUGGGGAAUAUUGAAAAAUGGGAGCAAGCCUGAUGCAGCGAGGCGGGGUGGGGGAUGACGGCCUUAGGGUUGUAAACUACAUUCGCUAGGGACGAAGCUUUUUGUGACGGUACCUAGAUAAGAAGCACCGGCUAACUACGUG
Molecule: ribosomal RNA, 465 nt
Filed under: uncultured bacterium
Lineage: Bacteria
Description: partial 16S ribosomal RNA
Rfam family: Bacterial small subunit ribosomal RNA
Source: RNAcentral